AGCUUUGCACAGUGGCAGUACCGUAGCCAAUGAGGUUUAUCCAAGGCGGGAUUAUUGCUAAUUGAUAAAUAUGGUCUGUUUGAAGACAACUUUUCAUUUUCUUAACAAUGUCAAUUAAGGUUCUAAAUUUGGAUGGAAUUUCAUUUAUCAA
This is a small nuclear RNA of 151 nucleotides. Its record names the gene U4. It matches the Rfam family "U4 spliceosomal RNA". Rfam says of the family: U4 small nuclear RNA (U4 snRNA) is a component of the major U2-dependent spliceosome. The record is from Ensembl.